RNAcentral lists this ribosomal RNA (2902 nucleotides) under Escherichia coli UCI 57. Its description in RNAcentral is "bacterial LSU rRNA". It matches the Rfam family "Bacterial large subunit ribosomal RNA". Lineage: Bacteria; Pseudomonadati; Pseudomonadota; Gammaproteobacteria; Enterobacterales; Enterobacteriaceae. The record is from RNAcentral.
UUAAGCGACUAAGCGUACACGGUGGAUGCCCUGGCAGUCAGAGGCGAUGAAGGACGUGCUAAUCUGCGAUAAGCGUCGGUGAGGUGAUAUGAACCGUUAUAACCGGCGAUUUCCGAAUGGGGAAACCCAGUGUGUUUCGACACACUAUCAUUAACUGAAUCCAUAGGUUAAUGAGGCGAACCGGGGGAACUGAAACAUCUAAGUACCCCGAGGAAAAGAAAUCAACCGAGAUUCCCCCAGUAGCGGCGAGCGAACGGGGAGGAGCCCAGAGCCUGAAUCAGUGUGUGUGUUAGUGGAAGCGUCUGGAAAGGCGCGCGAUACAGGGUGACAGCCCCGUACACAAAAAUGCACAUACUGUGAGCUCGAUGAGUAGGGCGGGACACGUGGUAUCCUGUCUGAAUAUGGGGGGACCAUCCUCCAAGGCUAAAUACUCCUGACUGACCGAUAGUGAACCAGUACCGUGAGGGAAAGGCGAAAAGAACCCCGGCGAGGGGAGUGAAAAAGAACCUGAAACCGUGUACGUACAAGCAGUGGGAGCCUCUUUAUGGGGUGACUGCGUACCUUUUGUAUAAUGGGUCAGCGACUUAUAUUCUGUAGCAAGGUUAACCGAAUAGGGGAGCCGAAGGGAAACCGAGUCUUAACUGGGCGUUAAGUUGCAGGGUAUAGACCCGAAACCCGGUGAUCUAGCCAUGGGCAGGUUGAAGGUUGGGUAACACUAACUGGAGGACCGAACCGACUAAUGUUGAAAAAUUAGCGGAUGACUUGUGGCUGGGGGUGAAAGGCCAAUCAAACCGGGAGAUAGCUGGUUCUCCCCGAAAGCUAUUUAGGUAGCGCCUCGUGAAUUCAUCUCCGGGGGUAGAGCACUGUUUCGGCAAGGGGGUCAUCCCGACUUACCAACCCGAUGCAAACUGCGAAUACCGGAGAAUGUUAUCACGGGAGACACACGGCGGGUGCUAACGUCCGUCGUGAAGAGGGAAACAACCCAGACCGCCAGCUAAGGUCCCAAAGUCAUGGUUAAGUGGGAAACGAUGUGGGAAGGCCCAGACAGCCAGGAUGUUGGCUUAGAAGCAGCCAUCAUUUAAAGAAAGCGUAAUAGCUCACUGGUCGAGUCGGCCUGCGCGGAAGAUGUAACGGGGCUAAACCAUGCACCGAAGCUGCGGCAGCGACACUAAGUGUUGUUGGGUAGGGGAGCGUUCUGUAAGCCUGUGAAGGUGUGCUGUGAGGUAUGCUGGAGGUAUCAGAAGUGCGAAUGCUGACAUAAGUAACGAUAAAGCGGGUGAAAAGCCCGCUCGCCGGAAGACCAAGGGUUCCUGUCCAACGUUAAUCGGGGCAGGGUGAGUCGACCCCUAAGGCGAGGCCGAAAGGCGUAGUCGAUGGGAAACAGGUUAAUAUUCCUGUACUUGGUGUUACUGCGAAGGGGGGACGGAGAAGGCUAUGUUGGCCGGGCGACGGUUGUCCCGGUUUAAGCGUGUAGGCUGAUUUUCCAGGCAAAUCCGGAAAAUCAAGGCUGAGGCGUGAUGACGAGGCACUACGGUGCUGAAGCAACAAAUGCCCUGCUUCCAGGAAAAGCCUCUAAGCAUCAGGUAACAUCAAAUCGUACCCCAAACCGACACAGGUGGUCAGGUAGAGAAUACCAAGGCGCUUGAGAGAACUCGGGUGAAGGAACUAGGCAAAAUGGUGCCGUAACUUCGGGAGAAGGCACGCUGAUAUGUAGGUGAAGUCCCUUGCUCGUGGAGCUGAAAUCAGUCGAAGAUACCAGCUGGCUGCAACUGUUUAUUAAAAACACAGCACUGUGCAAACACGAAAGUGGACGUAUACGGUGUGACGCCUGCCCGGUGCCGGAAGGUUAAUUGAUGGGGUUAGCGGUAACGCGAAGCUCUUGAUCGAAGCCCCGGUAAACGGCGGCCGUAACUAUAACGGUCCUAAGGUAGCGAAAUUCCUUGUCGGGUAAGUUCCGACCUGCACGAAUGGCGUAAUGAUGGCCAGGCUGUCUCCACCCGAGACUCAGUGAAAUUGAACUCGCUGUGAAGAUGCAGUGUACCCGCGGCAAGACGGAAAGACCCCGUGAACCUUUACUAUAGCUUGACACUGAACAUUGAGCCUUGAUGUGUAGGAUAGGUGGGAGGCUUUGAAGUGUGGACGCCAGUCUGCAUGGAGCCGGCCUUGAAAUACCACCCUUUAAUGUUUGAUGUUCUAACGUUGGCCCCUGAUCGGGGUUGCGGACAGUGUCUGGUGGGUAGUUUGACUGGGGCGGUCUCCUCCUAAAGAGUAACGGAGGAGCACGAAGGUUGGCUAAUCCUGGUCGGACAUCAGGAGGUUAGUGCAAUGGCAUAAGCCAGCUUGACUGCGAGCGUGACGGCGCGAGCAGGUGCGAAAGCAGGUCAUAGUGAUCCGGUGGUUCUGAAUGGAAGGGCCAUCGCUCAACGGAUAAAAGGUACUCCGGGGAUAACAGGCUGAUACCGCCCAAGAGUUCAUAUCGACGGCGGUGUUUGGCACCUCGAUGUCGGCUCAUCACAUCCUGGGGCUGAAGUAGGUCCCAAGGGUAUGGCUGUUCGCCAUUUAAAGUGGUACGCGAGCUGGGUUUAGAACGUCGUGAGACAGUUCGGUCCCUAUCUGCCGUGGGCGCUGGAGAACUGAGGGGGGCUGCUCCUAGUACGAGAGGACCGGAGUGGACGCAUCACUGGUGUUCGGGUUGUCAUGCCAAUGGCACUGCCCGGUAGCUAAAUGCGGAAGAGAUAAGUGCUGAAAGCAUCUAAGCACGAAACUUGCCCCGAGAUGAGUUCUCCCUGACUCCUUGAGAGUCCUGAAGGAACGUUGAAGACGACGACGUUGAUAGGCCGGGUGUGUAAGCGCAGCGAUGCGUUGAGCUAACCGGUACUAAUGAACCGUGAGGCUUAACCUU